UGGGGAAUAUUGGACAAUGGGGGCAACCCUGAUCCAGCCAUGCCGCGUGUGUGAAGAAGGCCUUUUGGUUGUAAAGCACUUUAAGCAGUGAAGAAGACUCCGUGGUUAAUACCCACGGACGAUGACAUUAGCUGCAGAAUAAGCACCGGCUAACUCUGUGCCAGCAGCCGCGGUAAUACAGAGGGUGCAAGCGUUAAUCGGAAUUACUGGGCGUAAAGCGAGCGUAGGUGGCUUGAUAAGUCAGAUGUGAAAUCCCCGGGCUUAACCUGGGAACUGCAUCUGAUACUGUUAGGCUAGAAUAGGUGAGAGGAAGGUAGAAUUCCAGGUGUAGCGGUGAAAUGCGUAGAGAUCUGGAGGAAUACCGAUGGCGAAGGCAGCCUUCUGGCAUCAUAUUGACACUGAGGUUCGAAAGCGUGGGUAGCAAACAGG
This 429-nucleotide ribosomal RNA is filed under the name uncultured Psychrobacter sp. Its description in RNAcentral is "bacterial SSU rRNA". It matches the Rfam family "Bacterial small subunit ribosomal RNA", at positions 355 to 776 of the family's 1533-position model. Lineage: Bacteria; Pseudomonadati; Pseudomonadota; Gammaproteobacteria; Moraxellales; Moraxellaceae. The record is from RNAcentral.